This 497-nucleotide ribosomal RNA is filed under the name uncultured bacterium. Its description in RNAcentral is "partial 16S ribosomal RNA". It matches the Rfam family "Bacterial small subunit ribosomal RNA", at positions 28 to 507 of the family's 1533-position model. The record is from RNAcentral.
GAUGAACGCUGGCGGCGUGCCUAAUACAUGCAAGUCGAGCGAACAGACGAGGAGCUUGCUCCUCUGACGUUAGCGGCGGACGGGUGAGUAACACGUGGAUAACCUACCUAUAAGACUGGGAUAACUUCGGGAAACCGGAGCUAAUACCGGAUAAUAUAUUGAACCGCAUGGUUCAAUAGUGAAAGACGGUUUUGCUGUCACUUAUAGAUGGAUCCGCGCCGCAUUAGCUAGUUGGUAAGGUAACGGCUUACCAAGGCAACGAUGCGUAGCCGACCUGAGAGGGUGAUCGGCCACCCUGGAAGUGAGCCACGGUCCAGACUACUACGGGAGGCAGCAGUAGGGAAUCUGCCGCAAUGGGCGAAAGCCUGACGGAGCAACGCCGCGUGAGUGAUGAAGGUCUUCGGAUCGUAAAACUCUGUUAUUAGGGAAGAACAAAUGUGUAAGUAACUAUGCACGUCUUGACGGUACCUAAUCAGAAAGCCACGGCUAACUACGUG